UCCUACGGGAGGCAGCAGUGGGGAAUAUUGCACAAUGGGGGAAACCCUGAUGCAGGGACGCCGCCUGAGAGAAGAAGUAUUUUCGGUAUGUAAAGCUCUAUGCAGCAAGGAAGAUAAUGACGUACUU
This 127-nucleotide ribosomal RNA is filed under the name uncultured Clostridium sp. Its description in RNAcentral is "partial 16S ribosomal RNA". It matches the Rfam family "Bacterial small subunit ribosomal RNA", at positions 337 to 461 of the family's 1533-position model. Lineage: Bacteria; Bacillati; Bacillota; Clostridia; Eubacteriales; Clostridiaceae. The record is from RNAcentral.